Molecule: ribosomal RNA, 392 nt
Filed under: uncultured bacterium
Lineage: Bacteria
Description: bacterial SSU rRNA
Rfam family: Bacterial small subunit ribosomal RNA
Source: RNAcentral
AACGAACGCUGGCGGCGCGCCUAAUACAUGCAAGUCGAGCGAGAAGGUGUAGCAAUACACUUGUAAAGCGGCGAACGGGUGAGGAAUGCAUGGGUAACCUACCCUCGAGUGGGGAAUAACUAGCCGAAAGGUUAGCUAAUACCGCAUACGUUUCCGGAACUUCGGUUUCGGAAAGAAAGCAAUACCGUGGGUAUUGCGCUCCUGGAUGGGCUCAUGUCCUAUCAGCUUGUUGGUGAGGUAACGGCUCACCAAGGCUUCGACGGGUAGGCUGGUCUGAGAGGACGAUCAGCCACACUGGCACUUUGCGACACGGGCCAGACUCCUACGGGAGGCAGCAGUAAGGAAUAUUGCGCAAUGGACGAAAGUACUGACGCAGCGACGCCGCGUGGGGA